UGGGGUGUAGCCAAGCGGUAAGGCAUCGGGUUUUGAUCCCGACAUUCCUAGGUUCGAAUCCUAGCACCCCAG
RNAcentral lists this transfer RNA (72 nucleotides) under Aquicella lusitana. It matches the Rfam family "tRNA". Rfam says of the family: Transfer RNA (tRNA) molecules are approximately 80 nucleotides in length. The record is from Rfam by way of RNAcentral. Lineage: Bacteria; Pseudomonadati; Pseudomonadota; Gammaproteobacteria; Legionellales; Coxiellaceae.